UGAACUCGCUGUGAAGAUGCAGUGUACCCGCGGCAAGACGGAAAGACCCCGUGAACCUUUACUAUAGCUUGACACUGAACAUUGAGCCUUGAUGUGUAGGAUAGGUGGGAGGCUUUGAAGUGUGGACGCCAGUCUGCAUGGAGCCGACCUUGAAAUACCACCCUUUAAUGUUUGAUGUUCUAACGUUGGCCCGUAAUCCGGGUUGCGGACAGUGUCUGGUGGGUAGUUUGACUGGGGCGGUCUCCUCCUAAAGAGUAACGGAGGAGCACGAAGGUUGGCUAAUCCUGGUCGGACAUCAGGAGGUUAGUGCAAUGGCAUAAGCCAGCUUGACUGCGAGCGUGACGG
RNAcentral lists this ribosomal RNA (345 nucleotides) under Escherichia coli. RNAcentral's name for it is "partial 23S ribosomal RNA". It matches the Rfam family "Bacterial large subunit ribosomal RNA", at positions 2043 to 2387 of the family's 2925-position model. Lineage: Bacteria; Pseudomonadati; Pseudomonadota; Gammaproteobacteria; Enterobacterales; Enterobacteriaceae. The record is from RNAcentral.